CCCCCCUCAGUGCAUGACAGAAAGCUGGCAGGAAGCACGUGCCCCAGGGGAGGCAGGACUUCCCUCCACAUGUACACUCAAAUUGUGGCCAAGAACCAGAAGUUUGGGGAUGCUGAGCAUUCAUUGAUCAGCAUGAUGAGAUGGGCCUGGUGAGGUGCACAGCACCUUGCUGUGAGGAGCAGACAGAUUUGUGACAAAGAAGUGGCAAAAAAAGGGAAGAAAGCACAGCCAACGCCAGCGCAUCAGAGCAAGUAUUGGAGCCAGACCCAGAGGGUUAAAGCAACCCAGAAAGCCUGAGAGGGUCCCUCAGGACAUCUCCCAAGUGGACUCAGUGAGAUCAGCGAAAGUGAUUUCCUUUUUCCUGAGCACCCCGGAGCAGAAGAGGGAUGGCAGUGUGCUCCGUGCACUGGUGCUGUGCCUGAGGUUCACGCUUCGUGCCAGCACCUCCCCACCUCCUGCCAGCACAGCUCCCGCAGGUGACUUACUGAGGUCGGUGGAUUUGUCUUCCCCUUCAUUCCAGCAGCAGCGGCACAGCCUGCAAGGACAACACAGCCGUCACCUUGCGGCCCAGGAGGGCACCUCUUGCUCUCCUGACCCGCGUCCCCAUCCACCUUAGGGUUCCCAAGGAAAGGAAGACCCAACCAGACCCAAUCCCAUGGCACUGUACAGCUGCGGAAAUGAGGAGCGGUCCCUGUUCAAGCGUCUUCAUUGCCCUAGAAGUAUUGGUUUUGAUAAGUGCUCCUGAAGCUGGCAUGGUAAGGGUGGCUGCACCCAAGGGUGUUGAGCACCCUGAGUCUGGAGCUCAUCUGCCCCAGCACUCUGGGGUGCCGUGGGUGCACGUGCCAGCACGCCGACGGCUCGCUGGCUUGUUGGAAAGCUUCGCGCUCCGUUCCGAAGCCGCUGCUAGCCUGUCCCAAUUGGUGGCCAAAUGUCAGCGGAUUCAAAUCGCUCGCAGCACUUCGGCAGCCAGCUCCGUGCUCUUUCCAUCAGCACUGGCUCAGAUGACAGGGCAUGCUACCGACCCCCCGAGUAUUAUUAUCGUUAUUUAUUUGUGUCGUGGCAGUGCCUAGGAACAUCCCCGCUGUGGACCAGAGGCCCUUCAUGCCCUGCACUACCGCAGAGCAGGUCAUGCCACGAGCACUGCUGCGCACUGUGAGCACCCAGCGCUGCUGCAGCGGCCAGCAAUGGGAUGGCUGGGUGAAAGCAACAGGUCUGCAAUCAAGUGUAAUGGGAAGGAAUCUUUUCCCUGGGUUUUGCUCUGCAAGACCAACUGUCUCAAUUAGCUGGCUCCCCUUACAGUGUUUUUCAACUGUACAGAGACGAGCCAAGGACACAUGAACGUAACGUGAUCUAGGAAGAUUCCCCGAGUGCCAGGAAGUUGGGGCCGCUCACCCAGCCACUGCGCUGCCUUUCUCUUUAUGGAUGUGCGCUGGCUCCCCUCUGAAGCUGCGAGAAGAGUGCUUAGGGCUUGCUCGUGCUCGCAGCUCUUCACAUGAAUGCUGCAGUAACUGGGCUGCCCAUGGCUGGUCUCUUCCCUGGGGCUCUUUGCAAGACUCCGCUCUCCCACCCCAACUCCGCAGGGACCAUGGGUCAUUCUCCUUCCCAGUGCCCACCAGCUGCAGGAGGACUGUCUGGGCACAGACGUGCUGCCCUUGGCUCCACUCUGCCGCCUUCUGCCCCCUGUGCCUCAUCCCCCCCUGUUUAGGGACAAACAGCAGCAAUGGAUGCUCCCCGGGACCUGUGGGCAGCAGGGCAAAACAAGGCUGCAUCAGCAACCACCAGAAGAACAGGUAAUUAUUUGGUGAUAACGAGGCUUCGGGCUAUUUGCACGAGGUCCUGCUGGUGGCUCUGGUCCCUUUGCCUUCAGCUUUGCUCUCCCUGCUGGUGACUGCCCACGUCCCCCAGCCUGGUGCCUGUGCUGAAGAGGGAUCACCACCACGCGCGGCAGGCAGGGACACCGUGAGCCACCGGCGGUGCCCAGGGCAGGCUGGUGACCUGCUCAGGACCCUGCUGCGAGGCAGGGAGCGCUGCCUUCGCCCCCCUGGCGUGGUGCCCUGCCCAGGUGGCACGGCAAAAUCAUGUGAGGCGAGGAGCUGGGGGCUGACAGCAUCCCCCGGCCAAGUCAUCAUGACCAUCUGCUCCGCACCAUGCCAGGCUGAUGGCUGUUGCAAAGAGCGUGCGUGCCGCAGAGUGCUGGGGAUCUGGCAGUAACAGGAUCUGAAGGGCUUCGGAGAGGCGCUGACUCUGUCUUUUCAGCUCUGCCUUAUGUAUAUUUAUCUGCGUGUACAAAUAGAGAGGGCGGGACGGUUGGGUUUCGCUCAGCUGUGCUGGGGCGGGAUGGCCGAGCGGGUUGCUGAGGAUGAAGCUCCCGGUGCCCCGUCCCUCUCCUGUCUGCCCCAGCCCUGUGCCCUGCCCUGUGCUGUGGGAAGCGUAGGGAGGGUGAGGCAGGGGGUUGGGCAGCCAAUGCCUCGGUCAGAAACGUGACUUUUAUCUAAAACGCACACCUUGGCGAUGCAGAAAAAAGGCAGGAAAGGGCUUUAAUUCGGUGCUGUGCCUUAGUCAUCAAAUACCUGACUCCACAGUUUGAUUUCAGCCGAGCAAAUUAAUGCAGGCUGAUGCAAGGUUUUCUCUCAAAUCGGUUUUGAUUUUUUCAGGAAAACGUGCUAUCAAAGGUGGAAACUUGGCAAAAGGAUGGAAUGGGGACUGUGUGUGUAUGGUGCACUGAGGGGCUCAGUGCAGCACGCGGCUGGGCUUGGGGCUGUCUGUUAGGAAAUUUUCUAAUGUUCUGUCUUUGAGCUUUAGUCCUCUUGUUUCUUUUAACUUAUGAAAAGUGUAAGGCUGUUCCUAGCUCUGCCGAGAGCUUUCCUUUGUGAGGCUGCCCGGACAAACUUUGGGGACCUGCUCAGUGCUGGCUCUGGCCAGCCUAAGCCGACGUUAAUUCCAACUGAGAUUCAAAGGCUUUCACGAACAGACUUAAAGCCCAAGGUCGCUGCAACACAUCAGCAUUGAAAAGAACCACUUAAAAAUAAGUUGUGAUAGCUGAAUGGGAUGCUCUCUGGCUGACCAAGCCCUGGGCACCUUGACUGGCUGUGACCUUGUGCUGAUCUCCACGUGUCCCCACUUGAUCAGUUUCCUUCCCUCCAGGUCACGUUUGCGAAGCAAUCCCCUUCCCCUUGCUCCCUGCACCAGUUAAUGAGCCACCAGCUCGGGUUUUAGUUGAGAAAUGGGCUCCUAGUGCUUUUGGACUGAGGUGAGCUUGGAUACAUCACCUUUACGGUUUGGACACUGAAAGUCAAACAAAAAGAAACCUAAACCCAUCUGACUUAAAGGUCACGAGACUUGGUGUCAUGGUAUUUGGGGGUCUCGUGAUUUUUAAAUGUUAAUGCUGCAAGCCCCGAGCCUGGAAAUUCACUGCCAGUAGUUAUCAGCGGUGACUUGGAGGCUCAAGUUGUUUCUAACCUGCUUCAGCAGAGGCUUGAUGACAGAAAAUGACCUGUGAUCACGGCCUUCUGUACAAGGCCCAUUACAAAGUACAAAACUGGAGAAUUUCCCACACCCAGAGAAGCCCCUCGAGCUGCUGCCUGUGUCCUGCAGGGCGAAGGGGCUUGUCCGGGACCUUGGGGCUGGGCUCAGAGCUGCGUUUCCCCCAUCCCUUGAUUUCCUGAGCCUGCCCCUCUCCCCCCUUCCCAGCCCCAAAUCUGAUACACGCAUAUACGAAACGCAUAUGGAUAAAAUAUACAUAUUUUGAAACACCCCAGGAAAUAAUUAACGGGGGGAUACUACGAAAGGCCAGCCCCAUGCCAGUGCCUGCUGAUGGAUGGAGCAAACCCCUGGGCAUGUUGUUGUGGCCGACCUGCCCCCGGAGGGCUGCGGUGCACGGGGUCGCCUCGCUGCCCGCCGUGCUUCCUCCCCGGCAGCAAUCACCGAGGGCAUCAAUUAGUCGGGAAAGGCAACGCUCAACAACUCAGUUUCUUAGUAACGCAGGCAAACGAUUCGAUGCUGCCAUACAUGGCUCAAACAAGGCGAAUUUGUUUCCUGCACCUGCAUGCAGAGGGGCAGGCGCUCAGUGGUGCAAACCCGUCCAUUAAUCCGCGGGGCUGCGGGGCUGCGGGGAGCACCGGCUCCUGCUCGUGGGGUGCCUGCCCGCAUGGUGCGAGCCCUGUGCUGCCAUUAGCACCUGAUUAAUUCCCGUGCUUUUAAGGAAAUGAAGCCACGCAGAAAUCUGCCACCAGUAACAAAUUACGCGGUGCUGGUGCCGCCAAUUAAUGCUUCGGGAAAAAGUACUCUGCCUCAGACGCGGAGUGCUUUUCUGCCCUGAGUGAGUUUGUUGCUGACAGCAAACCAAGACCGCUGUCCUGCCCUGAAGCUGCUAAACCGGCAUUCAGACACCAUCCAGAGCGGCAAAGGGGAAAAGCUCUUCAAAACGGGGAUUUUUUUGGCAGCCUGCC
This is a long non-coding RNA of Cygnus olor (mute swan), 4448 nucleotides long. RefSeq lists it as uncharacterized. The record is from RefSeq and is a predicted model, not a curated record. Lineage: Eukaryota; Metazoa; Chordata; Aves; Anseriformes; Anatidae. The transcript is spliced from 3 exons.